GAGCUGACUUUAGUACGAGAGGACCGAGUCGGACGAACCUCUAGUGUACCUGUUGUGGCGCCAGCUGCAUCGCAGGGUAGCUAUGUUCGGUUGGGAUAAGUACUGAAAGCAUAUAAGUACGAAGCCCACCUUAAGAUGAGAUUUCUUUCAAGGGUCGUUCGAGACUAGGACGUUGAUAGGCUACAGGUGUAAAGGCAGCAAUGUCAUAGCCGAGUAGUACUAAUUACCCGUAGAUUUUUUACC
RNAcentral lists this ribosomal RNA (243 nucleotides) under Schleiferiaceae bacterium. Its description in RNAcentral is "partial 23S ribosomal RNA". It matches the Rfam family "Bacterial large subunit ribosomal RNA", at positions 2669 to 2925 of the family's 2925-position model. The record is from RNAcentral. Lineage: Bacteria; Pseudomonadati; Bacteroidota; Flavobacteriia; Flavobacteriales; Schleiferiaceae.